GACGAACGCUGGCGGCGUGCUUAACACAUGCAAGUCGACCGGAAAGGCCCUGCUUGCAGGGUACUCGAGUGGCGAACGGGUGAGUAACACGUGGGUGAUCUGCCCUUCACUUCGGGAUAAGCCUGGGAAACUGGGUCUAAUACCGGAUAGGAGCCAUUUUUAGUGUGAUGGUUGGAAAGUUUUUUCGGUGUAGGAUGAGCUCGCGGCCUGUCAGCUUGUUGGUGGGGUAAUGGCCUACCAAGGCGGCGACGGGUAGCCGGCCUGAGAGGGUGGACGGCCACAGGAGGACGGAGAGACGGGCGAGAAACCGACGGGAGGCAGAAGGGGGGAAGACUGCACAAUGGGGGGAAGCAUGAUGUAUCGGCGUGGCGUGGCGGAUGACGGCCGUCGGGGGGGAAACUCCGUACGGCCGCGAGGAAGACACCAGGUUGGAAGGACGGUGACGGUACCGGGAGAAGAAGAACCGGCUAACUACGGG
Molecule: ribosomal RNA, 478 nt
Filed under: uncultured bacterium
Lineage: Bacteria
Description: partial 16S ribosomal RNA
Rfam family: Bacterial small subunit ribosomal RNA
Source: RNAcentral